GGGUUGGAUGUUAUGGGUGUUGAGGCAUGUUUUUAUAUCUAGUUGUCCCCACAAGGAUAGGAAUAUCUGGCAAGUUUGGCCUAGUGAGGACAUUUGGCUACUUCCCAUGAGGUAGGCCACCUCUCAGGAACGGCUCCCCUUCUCUGAUGACAGGUUUGGGCUGAUGACAUGACAUGGAAAAUUUCGGUGAACCUGUGCCCCACUGUAGCCUCAAUUUCCCGUCCUUGGCUGACAGGAGUGGAACCCGAUGUGGGCUUCUGCUGUUGUAGCGCAUCUGCCUCAAGGUUCUGCGUGUUGUGCAGUCUGGGAUACUUUUCUGCUCAUCACAGAUGCAAAGAGUGGAUAUUCAUGUCAUCUUAUCUUCCUGUCAGUUCAAACCAGUCUGGUUAUUCUCCCUCUGUCCUCUCUCAUCAGCAAGGUGUUUCCACCCACAGAACUGCUGCUCACUGGAUUCAUAUUUUUGGGCACCAUUGUGAGUUAACUUUAGAGACUGUUUUGCAUGAAGGAGAUCAGCAGUUUCUGAAAUAUUCACCAGGCUGUCUGGCACCAACAACCCUGCCAUUGUCAAAGUCACGGAGAUCAUAUUUUUUCCCCUGUUCUGAUGUUUGAUGUGAGCAUUACCUGAAGUUCUUUACUUGUAUUUGCAUGAUUUCGUAGAUGAUUUCAUGCAUAAUAUAUUUCCUAGACUGUGCUUGGUGUAUGGCUCAGAAAUUGGAAAAAAAUAAAAAUAAAUCAAUCGGUUUUCUGCAAGCGUUUCCUUUCUUG
Ictalurus punctatus (channel catfish) is the source of this 765-nucleotide long non-coding RNA. NCBI's taxonomy places the organism in Eukaryota, Metazoa, Chordata, Actinopteri, Siluriformes, Ictaluridae. The record is from Ensembl.